GAUGAACGCUGGCGGCGUGCCUAAUACAUGCAAGUAGAACGCUGAAGGAGGAGCUUGCUCUUCUGGAUGAGUUGUGAACGGGUGAGUAACGCGUAGGUAACCUGCCUGGUAGCGGGGGAUAACUAUUGGAAACGAUAGCUAAUACCGCAUGACAACAGUUAUUGCAUGAUAACUGUUUAAAAGGGGCAACUGCUCCACUACCAGAUGGACCUGCGUUGUAUUAGCUAGUUGGUGAGGUAACGGCUCACCAAGGCGACGAUACAUAGCCGACCUGAGAGGGUGAUCGGCCACACUGGGACUGAGACACGGCCCAGACUCCUACGGGAGGCAGCAGUAGGGAAUCUUCGGCAAUGGACGGAAGUCUGACCGAGCAACGCCGCGUGAGUGAAGAAGGUUUUCGGAUCGUAAAGCUCUGUUGUAAGAGAAGAACGAGUGUGAGAGUGGAAAGUUCACACUGUGACGGUAUCUUACCAGAAAGGGACGGCUAACUACGUG
This 495-nucleotide ribosomal RNA is filed under the name uncultured bacterium. RNAcentral describes it as "partial 16S ribosomal RNA". It matches the Rfam family "Bacterial small subunit ribosomal RNA", at positions 28 to 507 of the family's 1533-position model. The record is from RNAcentral.